ACAGUAGCAGUUCGGUUCGACCCAACCAAGGAUUCAGAGACUAUAAUAGUCUCAAAUCUCAAUCCUUUUGGCCUAACCGAUGACAAUUUAGUAAGCGACGUAAACAAUAACAUUCCUGAACCUUCACACGUGAUGACUUUUGAGGAUAUUAAUGGAUGAGUGGACACCUUGACACCAUGGAUGAAAUAGUUCAGCAAAUCACAGGUCACUUAUUUGUCACAGCAGUGGACCAGAAGAUUGUUCGUGGUAUUAACAAGGAAAUUGAGGAGUUGUUGCCAGAUGUUAAGAAGCUACUACAAGCUGACAUUGUCCAGAAGGUCAAGAAGCUCCUGGCAGAGGAUCCCCUUGUAGCUCUAACAACUGUGAACCUGGUGUGUGAUGGCUGCUCAGCACUACGUGAGAGCUUGGGGGAGUGUUUGGAAGAGAUUCUUGUUGUGUGUUCAACAAGACUACAGACCCACCUCAUUGAUCAACAUAGGAAACACUCUCAGUUCCAUGUUGCUGUUAAAGCUUUGUACAGCAUUCUGCAGUAUGUUAUUCCUCAAGUGUCUCUGCAGACUGAAGUAACACCGCUGUUAGAAAGAAUUUAUUUAUCAUUAUUUGUUGCCUUGACAAGUGAAAAAUUACCAUCUGAUUGUGCUUUGAUAACUGCAACAUCCCUCUGUCUCACUGUUUCUUGUCUAAAAACAGAGAAUUUUGAAGUUGAAUUUCUGCAUAUGUUAUCAACCCUCCAUGAAUUGCAGUUGAAUGAUACUGGAAAACAUUCUGAAUGUUCAGUCGAAGGGGUAUUAGAGUCUUUUAAAAAAGGUGAUAAACCCUUGAGAGAGAGGCUUGGAGAUAUUAAACCAGCAUACCCAGUUGCAUUGCUGCUUCAUGGUCUUUUCAAUUCAGAUGUGCAAUGGAUAUAUAAUUAUGGAAACUGGAGUGAUAUAUUCUUGAAAUUACAAUCAGCACCAGGGAAAGAGCAUGGUAAUGACUCUUAUUUGGAUUACAACCCAAGCUCAAGGCAGUGUGAUAAACAACCUCACCCACAAGACAGCAAUGUUGGUGAAGUUGGAGGCAUUUUCUUAUAUGAGAUUUACAUAGUCAUCAGAAAGCUGUGUAAAGGUGCUACCAGUUAUACAUUUCAGGCUUUUCAGGUGCUGCGUUUGUGGCUGACUUGCGUGAGGGAGUUGGGCAACAGGAUGCGGAAAGACUAUGAUGAAGUGCUAACACAACAUUUCCAAGAGUGUUCAGUGUCUGAAGGGUGUAAUGAUUAUAAUCUGUAUCACUAUAAAAAAAAUCUACCAUCUGGAAAAUGGAUAUUUACUACUCUGUCCAAUCAGGAUACUGUGUUUCAUCUGUUGAAUUCUAAUUGGGAGAAUCCCUCAAAGGGAGUUAGUGAUGUUGUAUAUGUCUGCAUGGUUGAGCUGCUAGAACUACAUGAAGAUGAUGCUCCAGACCAGGCAAAGAGCGUGGCUAGUUCUAUGGUCAUGUCACUUUCAUCUUCUGAUGCCUGGACGUCAAAGAGUACUUACCCACCUCUUGCUCUUGCAGUAUCCUAUAUUGGGGCUCAAAAAGCAGUUAUGCUUUGCCCAAGAUUACCAACUGGAUUAAUGACAUCUUUAAGUGUAAACCACCUGGCUCCUGCUGGUACAAAGGUGUACAAGAUCAUGGUAGAGGGGCUGACUUCAUGCCUGUGGUCUGAAUAUUUCUUCACCAUUGUGUGUGAAGCCCUGCACAGUGAUGACAGGCUGACCCAGCAGAAUGUGAGGUCAUUAUGGUUACCACCAACACUGCGACAGUAUCCAAGGAUAUAUCUUGAGCUCCUCAGUGGCUGUGAAGACACUACUGGUGGAUGGGUGGCACGAAUGGCAAUUUUAAGGGUUGCUCGCUCCCUUGGUUCUUUAAGUUUAAAGGAACAUGAUACAGCUCUUGAUCAUGAAGAAUUAAGUAAUUUGCAUGUGCAGAAAUCAUUUAGUUCAUUAAAUGCUUACAGUGAAAUCAAGGGAAGUAGUUCUUCUGUGAGUGUUGAAAAUGAAUAUUAUAUAAAGAAACAAGUGAUUAAUCUUUGUGUACUAUCAUACCUCAAGCCAGCGCUUAGCCACUUGGAUGAGACAGUACGAGGAGAAGCUCUGUCUUUUCUCUGCCAUACCCGGAAGGCCUCAGAACCUGUCUCACUUGAAGAAUCAUCUUACCUAAAAUGGUUUUUCAAGUAUAACAUGAACAUUGAUUCAGCACCUUUCAGACAAGGUAUGAUAAAAUGCUACAAGGCUCUAGUGGCCAGGUUACGUGAUGCCUCUGCUACUGAACUAAAAAAGUUGUCUUUCAGAGUUUUAAAUUCAAAAGAUUAUUCUUCAGAAUUUGUUAGAAAUCUUAAAGCCAAUCCUGUUCUUCAGACCAACACUGAACUUCUGGUAUGGUUUAUAAAGUUGUUUCACAGUAACUUAGCACCAGAUGGUAACUACCAGCGAAGGAUACUCUCCCUUCUGCUCUACAAGGAAACCCUUUUAGCAUUUUAUGAAAAGAAAACUUUUAUGACAUAUUCAGUACCUCCAAGGUACAUGACAGUGUGUGCAUAUAUUAAUCUCACCAAUAGUAAAGAAGUCUGUGAUGAGGAAAGUCAACCUAUCACAGACCUGUCCUUACCUUGGACUCUGGAAAUGCUACUCUGUUCCUGUUUGGAUGAAAUGAAUAACAUUAGAGAUGAAGCAGAGAACAUUUUAAAGAUUAUGGAGUCAUCUAAGAAUGCUGUAUGCUACUACAAGGCAGAAGAGUGGCUGCAGCGAGGUCUGACACUUUGUAACUCCCCUAAGGCUAGUGAUGCUGAGAGUGGAGCAACCUUGGUGAAGGUGGUAUCAUCAUCUUACUACAAUGGUGGUCAUGACAUCUCUACUCUUCUAAAGAAUAUGGAAAGGAGCAGUGAGUCACACAGCUUGAUCAGUUUCUUAUUUGACUGUGUGGAGGGUCAGUUUAAGAUGGCACAGAAUAAUCUUCUAGAAGCUGCCAGAAGAACCCCUAUUCAUGGUUCCUUGUUGGCUUUAGGUCGAUGUGUGUUCGAAGAAGCACAUGUUGCACCCUUGUUGCCUGAAGAUGUGCAGGACUUUGUUCACAAGCUAGCAAGUCUGAUGGUGAAGAUGGUAGAAUUUAUGUUAUCCAAACUGGCCUGUGCCUCACAAAAUGGCUCAGCUGUUGCUCCAUCAUUUGCUGAGAUGGGAGAUUCUGUGGAGCUCAUCAUCAAAGAGUGUGGGGGAAGCACUGCACCUGCUGAAUUUUACCACAGUGAAUGUGGAGAAGACAUAGAAGAGAGAGAUGAAGAAGCUGAUGAUGAGGAUAAUGCCAUCUCUGGGGACCACCAGCUAGUUUUAGCGUGUUGCUGGCAAACUAUGAAGACCUGCUGUAUGGUGUCCAGCAUGUGUUUGUCACGCUGGUUAGAUUGUCUCAGUGAGACUGUAAUUGAGAAACUUUUGCGUUGUGUUGUUGUUCGUGUAUUAACAGGCUACGUCACAAAGGAGCAAUGGAGGCUGCUCGAAGUGCAUACAACCAACUGUGUUAUGUUCUACUUACUACCAACUCUAAUAUUGGCCAGCUUGUAUAUAGACAGGUUGAAGAAAUCUUGGAUCAGCUGGAGGUUGGUGCUCAGACCUCAGUAACUCGUGAAGCAGCAGGGAUGGCUAUGAUGAUACAGGUUGCUUGUGGUGCUGCACCACCAACUAAUGCUUCCCUCAUCAAUAACACAAUCACCAAACUUUUAAAAAUCACUCAGACAGAGUAUGCAGAACAGAGUACCUUGGACUCGCCUCCAGUCUUGGCACUCCAUGUUCUGCACUCUGUGGUCAUCCAUGCUCCAUUGGCCCAUCAUAUGAUUCACCAUAUGCCAGCCAUUACUGCCACGUGUCUAGAAGCC
Molecule: unclassified non-coding RNA, 3886 nt
Filed under: Homarus americanus (American lobster)
Lineage: Eukaryota; Metazoa; Arthropoda; Malacostraca; Decapoda; Nephropidae
Description: uncharacterized LOC121855325, transcript variant X2
Source: RNAcentral